This 468-nucleotide ribosomal RNA is filed under the name uncultured bacterium. RNAcentral's name for it is "partial 16S ribosomal RNA". It matches the Rfam family "Bacterial small subunit ribosomal RNA", at positions 28 to 507 of the family's 1533-position model. The record is from RNAcentral.
GACGAACGCUGGCGGCGUGCUUAACACAUGCAAGUCGAACGGAAAGGCCCUGCUUUUGUGGGGUGCUCGAGUGGCGAACGGGUGAGUAACACGUGAGUAACCUGCCCUUGACUUUGGGAUAACUUCAGGAAACUGGGGCUAAUACCGGAUAGGAGCUCCUGCUGCAUGGGGGGGGUUGGAAAGUUUCGGCGGUUGGGGAUGGACUCGCGGCUUAUCAGCUUGUUGGUGGGGUAGUGGCUUACCAAGGCUUUGACGGGUAGCCGGCCUGAGAGGGUGACCGGCCACAUUGGGACUGCGAUACGGCCCAGACUCCUACGGGAGGCAGCAGUGGGGAAUAUUGCACAAUGGGCGGAAGCCUGAUGCAGCAACGCCGCGUGCGGGAUGACGGCCUUCGGGUUGUAAACCGCUUUCGCCUGUGACGAAGAGUGAGUGACGGUAAUGGGUAAAGAAGCACCGGCUAACUACGUG